Molecule: ribosomal RNA, 305 nt
Filed under: uncultured bacterium
Lineage: Bacteria
Description: bacterial SSU rRNA
Rfam family: Bacterial small subunit ribosomal RNA
Source: RNAcentral
UUUUGCCUACGGGAGGCAGCAGUCGGGAAUAUUGCGCAAUGGAGGAAACUCUGACGCAGUGACGCCGCGUAUAGGAAGAAGGUUUUCGGAUUGUAAACUAUUGUCGUGAGGGAAGAAGAUGACAGUACCUCAGGAGGAAGCUCCGGCUAACUAUGUGUCAGCAGCCGCGGUAAUACAUAGGGAGCAAGCGUUAUCCGGAAUUAUUGGGUGUAAAGGGUGCGUAGACGGGAAAUUAAGUUAGUUGUGAAAUCCCUUGGCUUAACUGAGGAACUGCAACUAAAACUGAUUUUCUUGAGUACUGGAGA